GACGAACGCUGGCGGCGUGCUUAACACAUGCAAGUCGAACGGAAAGGCCCUGCUUUUGUGGGUUGCUCGAGUGGCGAACGGGUGAGUAACACGUGAGUAACCUGCCCUUGACUUUGGGAUAACUUCAGGAAACUGGGGCUAAUACCGGAUAGGAGCUCCUGCUGCAUGGUGGUGGUUGGAAAGUUUCGGCGGUUGGGGAUGGACUCGCGGCUUAUCAGCUUGUUGGUGGGGUAGUGGCUUACCAAGGCUUUGACGGGUAGCCGGCCUGAGAGGGUGACCGGCCACAAUGGGACUGAGAUACGGACCAGACUCCUACGGGAGGCAGCAGUGGGGAAUAUUGCACAAUGGGCGGAAGCCUGAUGCAGCAACGCCGCGUGCGGGAUGACGGCCUUCGGGUUGUAAACCGCUUUCGCAUGUGACGAAGCGUGAGUGACGGUAAUGGGUAAAGAAGCACCGGCUAACUACGUG
This 468-nucleotide ribosomal RNA is filed under the name uncultured bacterium. RNAcentral describes it as "partial 16S ribosomal RNA". It matches the Rfam family "Bacterial small subunit ribosomal RNA", at positions 28 to 507 of the family's 1533-position model. The record is from RNAcentral.